AACGAACGCUGGCGGCACGCCUAACACAUGCAAGUCGAACGGAGGCUUCGGCCUUAGUGGCGCACGGGUGCGUAACGCGUGGGAACCUGCCCUUUGGUUCGGAAUAACCAGGAGAAAUUCUGGCUAAUACCGGAUGAUGUCGAAAGACCAAAGAUUAUCGCCAUAGGAUGGGCCCGCGUAGGAUUAGCUAGUUGGUGAGGUAAAGGCUCACCAAGGCGACGAUCCUUAGCUGGUCUGAGAGGAUGAUCAGCCACACUGGGACUGAGACACGGCCCAGACUCCUACGGGAGGCAGCAGUGGGGAAUAUUGGACAAUGGGCGAAAGCCUGAUCCAGCAAUGCCGCGUGAGUGAUGAAGGCCUUAGGGUUGUAAAGCUCUUUUACCCGGGAUGAUAAUGACAGUACCGGGAGAAUAAGCCCCGGCUAACUCCGUGCCAGCCGCCGCGGUAA
This 448-nucleotide ribosomal RNA is filed under the name uncultured bacterium. Its description in RNAcentral is "partial 16S ribosomal RNA". It matches the Rfam family "Bacterial small subunit ribosomal RNA", at positions 29 to 523 of the family's 1533-position model. The record is from RNAcentral.